AUACUCUGGUUCCUCUCCAGGUCACAUAAAUCUUUCACCUCUUAUUAAAGAUUUCUGUGGAGAGGAACAGCUCUCAGUUUUUCAACUACUUUUUUGAGGCCUUGCUUUGGCAGGGCA
Prolemur simus (greater bamboo lemur) is the source of this 117-nucleotide small nuclear RNA. Its record names the gene U5. It matches the Rfam family "U5 spliceosomal RNA". From Rfam's summary of the family: U5 RNA is a component of both types of known spliceosome. The precise function of this molecule is unknown, though it is known that the 5' loop is required for splice site selection and p220 binding, and that both the 3' stem-loop and the Sm site are important for Sm protein binding and cap methylation. The record is from Ensembl. NCBI's taxonomy places the organism in Eukaryota, Metazoa, Chordata, Mammalia, Primates, Lemuridae.